Molecule: ribosomal RNA, 253 nt
Filed under: uncultured bacterium
Lineage: Bacteria
Description: partial 16S ribosomal RNA
Rfam family: Bacterial small subunit ribosomal RNA
Source: RNAcentral
UACGGAGGGUGCAAACGUUGCUCGGAAUUAUUGGGCGUAAAGCGCACGUAGGCGGUUCGGUAAGUCGGAUGUGAAAUCCCUCGGCUCAACCGAGGAAGGGCAUCCGAAACUGCCGGGCUUGAGUACGGAAGAGGGUCUCGGAAUUCCCGGUGUAGAGGUGAAAUUCGUAGAUAUCGGGAGGAACACCAGUGGCGAAGGCGGAGACCUGGGCCGAUACUGACGCUGAGGAGCGAAAGCGUGGGGAGCGAACAGG